This 265-nucleotide ribosomal RNA is filed under the name uncultured bacterium. RNAcentral describes it as "partial 16S ribosomal RNA". It matches the Rfam family "Bacterial small subunit ribosomal RNA", at positions 793 to 1055 of the family's 1533-position model. The record is from RNAcentral.
GUCCACGCCCUAAACGAUGUCAACUGGUUGUUGGGGGAUUUAUUCUCUUAGUAACGAAGCUAACGCGUGAAGUUGACCGCCUGGGGAGUACGGUCGCAAGAUUAAAACUCAAAGGAAUUGACGGGGACCCGCACAAGCGGUGGAUGAUGUGGAUUAAUUCGAUGCAACGCGAAAAACCUUACCUACGCUUGACAUGUCCGAGAUCCCCGAGAGAUUGGGGAGUGCUCGAAAGAGAAUCGGAACACAGGUGCUGCAUGGCUGUCGU